Miniopterus natalensis is the source of this 479-nucleotide long non-coding RNA. RefSeq lists it as uncharacterized. NCBI's taxonomy places the organism in Eukaryota, Metazoa, Chordata, Mammalia, Chiroptera, Miniopteridae. The record is from RefSeq and is a predicted model, not a curated record.
AAAUGAUGGCUGUGAGGUCGAUGUUCUUCCUCUCGUAGCCCUGCAGCUGGUCCUGGCACUCUGCCAGCUUGGCCUCCGUGAUCUUGAGGAUGUCGGGCAGCUGCUGCAGGCCCCUGAGGGUGCCCAGUCAGCAUGGAAUGAGACCACCAGGACCCAGGCAUUGUGCUAAGGGCUCUCCAAAUACUCGCUGAAUUCAUACAACCUGUACAGUAGGCGCUGUCUUCCCUAUAUAAGGACACUAAGAAUCAAAGGCUCAUUGCCCACAGUCACUCAGCCAGAGCCAAGCGUUCGAGCUGCGCUGCGACUUCGUCGGCCUCCAGUCUGGUCUUCAUCACCUGGGGACCAACACAGCAUGAGGCGUCUGGGGCAGAGCCGAGUUCUGGUGAAAAAUACCUGCCCCUCCCCAACCCUCCCAGGAAAGGCCCCGUGGCUCAUCCCGGCCUGCUGAGAGGUGCCGCUGGUGGGGCAGGGGCACCCGA